Molecule: long non-coding RNA, 636 nt
Filed under: Salvia miltiorrhiza (redroot sage)
Lineage: Eukaryota; Viridiplantae; Streptophyta; Magnoliopsida; Lamiales; Lamiaceae
Description: long non-coding RNA (SMIL_LNC012204)
Source: RNAcentral
AAUGUUCGAUAAAAAGCCCACAAGAAAAUAACUGCUUUUAUCAUACCGGGACUCCAUCACAAUCACUUUUCAAAGAAAACCCACAACGAAGAAUGAAGAAAAUUGUAAGAAAAUCAGCAAAAUCACUGUCCUUUUCUUCGUGUGAUGGCUUCUGGGGAGGCUGAGAUCAAUGCGUCACGUAGCAGCAGGAAAUUUUAUAAACUCUAAAUCACAAACUCACGAGUAACAAUAAAAAAACAAUCUGAAGUCCAGAAAAGAGAAAAAGAGUAAGAAAGAAAAGUUCAUAAUAUAUGGUAUUUGUCUUGAAUCAACUUCUCCUCCGUGUUGGUGUAGCUCUCUUCCUUGUCUUCUUCUUCUUGUUCUUGUUGUAUGUAUAUCCGACGCCAAAAAAGAAUUCCACCAACCAUCUUGGCCUUCCAAAUCGAAUAAUGCAACAACCAAUUCCAAUCCCAACUAUGAUUCCACUUCCAUAUCCCAUCACCACACUUCUCCAUCCAAAUCCAUCUAUAAAUCCAUACUCAUCUUCUUCUUCUUCUUCUGGCUGCAUCUGCUGCUCAUUCUUCUCGUUGCAUUUUCUCGUCAACGGAAAUCCACACAAUCUCAAGUUUCCCGCGUAUGAAUCAUUCUCAAAUGUGG